This 1324-nucleotide ribosomal RNA is filed under the name metagenome. RNAcentral's name for it is "SSU rRNA". It matches the Rfam family "Eukaryotic small subunit ribosomal RNA", at positions 499 to 1816 of the family's 1831-position model. The record is from RNAcentral.
GGCUUGGUAAUUGGAAUGGGGGAGAGUUAAACGGACCAUCGAGUAUCCAUUGGAGGGCAAGUCUGGUGCCAGCAGCUGCGGUAAUACCAGCUCCAAUAGCGUAUAUUAAAGUUGUUGCAGUUAAAAAGCUCGUAGUUGGACUUGUGUGCGCUGUCCGCGGGUGGCCUGCGCCCAAAAGGGCGUUUCGGUUCGGCCCCGGUGGCGCCUUGAAAUCUGCAGCUGGGGGGACGUUGGCCUUAACUGGUCGGCGACCGCACGCCGGCUGCUCGGUUACUGUGAGAAAAUUAGAGUGUUCAAGGCAGGCAUUGGGUGCAAUUGAAUACAUUAGCAUGGAAUAAUAAAAUAUGGCUCCUGCCGUAUUUUGUUGGUUUUGACUGGUGGGAGUAAUGAUUGAUAGGGACGGUUGGGGGUGCUAGUAUUGAGCGGCCAGAGGUGAAAUUCAUGGAUUCGCUCAAGACUAACUUAUGCGAAAGCAUUCACCAAGGGCGUCCUCUUUAAUCAAGAACGAAAGUUGGGGGAUCGAAGACGAUCAGAUACCGUCGUAGUCUCAACCAUAAACUAUGUCGACUUGGGAUCGGCGGUAGUUUUUUCAUUAAGACACUGUCGGGACCACGGGAGAAAUCAAAGUGUCUGGACUCUGGGGGAAGUAUGGUCGCAAGGCUGAAACUUGAAGGAAUUGACGGAAGGGCACCACCAGGAGUGGAGCCUGCGGCUUAAUUUGACCCAACACGGGGAAACUUACCAGGUCCAGAGAUAUAGAGGAUUGACAGAUUGAAGCUCUUUCUUGAUCACUUCGGUGGUGGUGCAUGGCCGUUCUUAGUUGGUGGAGUGAUUUGUCUGGUUAAUUCCGUUAACGAUCGAGACCUCAGCCUGCUAGUGUAGUCGGCUGGAUUGCCUUUGGCGAUCCGCGAUUUCGACCUCUUAGAGGGACAAUCGACGCGCAGUCGAUGGAAGUUUGAGGCAAUAACAGGUCUGUGAUGCCCUUAGAUGUUCUGGGCCGCACGCGCGCUACACUGCUGGGCUCAGCGAGUUUUACUUGGCCGAGAGGCCCGGUUAAUCUUGUGAAAUCCCAGCGUGCUUGGGCUCGCCUCCUGCAACUGGAGGCGCCAACGAGGAAUUCCUAGUAGACGCAGGUCAUCAACCUGCAUCGAUUACGUCCCUGCCCUUUGUACACACCGCCCGUCGUUCCAUAAGAGUGAGGCAUCCGGUGAAUUCUCGGGAGAGCCUGGGCGUGGCCAGCAAUGGUCUGCUCGGGUUUGAACUUGCAUAAACUUGGUGCCUAUGAUUAGGGAAAAGUCGUAACAAGGUUUCCGUAGGUGAACCU